UUUGGGGUGGUGGUGGAACGGGUGUGAAUCAUUGUUGAAAUAAAAAUCCUCGCCCCCGCCAUUAUCAUCGGAACUGUGGCUUCACCAUUUUCGAUUCUAGCCCUCGCAAACCUCGUCUCUCCUCCGUGAAGAGUCUCCAUCAUCUCUUGCUGUCAAACACAAUCUGGGUCGAUAUCGUGGCUUAGCUUCACCAUUUCCAAUACAAUGUUGCGUCAGAUUGGUUGCUUGGUUGUAUCUCCUCCAAACAAUAAUGAAGCCAUAGCCACCAUCUCCAUUUACUUCAUCCCCUGUUUUGCUGUCUCUUUUUCUUCGGCUUCACCACUUCUGCUUAGCAGGGAUAUGAUUUGAAAUAAAUGCAUGUGUGAGCAAGUAGAGGCACUACAAUAUGAGACUUGAGAGGGAGCAUACAUUUGUGUAUGUCCAAACAGUAUGUUUUAUGCUCUAUCCUAAACUUUGGAGGCUUUAAACUGCUGGCAAUAGGGAUGCAACUAUAGCCCUUCGAGCAAUAAUGUUUUAUAGCCUGAUAUCUUUGCUUAAAUCAUCAUUUUCAACGUGCAGUUGGGACUCUAAAUCCAAUUGAAACUGUUGAAUUGAAGCUGCUGUUCAAGGUGGUAAAAUUGUGUUUUUAUGAAACAGUGCAAGUGUGUUUUUUGUGGGUAAAAAUGUCUUCUAACUUCUUAAGUUGCUUGUGAUUCAUUUGAAUAUUUCUACAUGUUUCCUGUCAUGAAAAAUAAUAAUUGUUUCUGAAAAACUUUGAUGGUAGUUGCCACCAUCAAUGAAGCAUUCUCUAGUUAGAUGAAUUUUGCUUUUUUUUUUUUUCCUUUUUGAACUGAGCAGUAAGGCUGUGUGAUUGCUAGCUUUGGGAGUGGAAUUAGAUCCAUAGAUUUUUAUAAAAUUAAAAUAGAAAUGUAAGCAAAAAUAUUAUUGUUAGCAA
Camellia sinensis is the source of this 934-nucleotide non-coding RNA. Lineage: Eukaryota; Viridiplantae; Streptophyta; Magnoliopsida; Ericales; Theaceae. The record is from RefSeq and is a predicted model, not a curated record.